This is a non-coding RNA of Pelobates cultripes (western spadefoot toad), 106 nucleotides long. Lineage: Eukaryota; Metazoa; Chordata; Amphibia; Anura; Pelobatidae. The record is from the annotation of a GenBank genome assembly.
UUCAGUGCUCACUUCGCUUUCCAGAACGCGUUUCGCCAGGUGGCUUCUUCAGCUGGUUAAAUUCUGUCACAGAAACGCGUUCUGGAAAGCGAAGUGAGCACUGAAA